RNAcentral lists this ribosomal RNA (468 nucleotides) under uncultured bacterium. RNAcentral's name for it is "partial 16S ribosomal RNA". It matches the Rfam family "Bacterial small subunit ribosomal RNA", at positions 28 to 507 of the family's 1533-position model. The record is from RNAcentral.
GACGAACGCUGGCGGCGUGCUUAACACAUGCAAGUCGAACGGAAAGGCCCUGCUUUUGUGGUGUUCUCGAUUGGCGAACGGGUGAGUAACACGUGUGUAACCUGCCCUUGACUUUGGGAUAACUUCAGGAAACUGGGGCUAAUACCGUAUAGGAGCUCCUGCUGCAUUGUGGGGGUUGGAAAGUUUCGGCGGUUGGGGAUGGACUCGCGGCUUAUCAGCUUGUUGGUGGGGUAGUGGCUUACCAAGGCUUUGACGGGUAGCCGGCCUGAGAGGGUGACCGGCCACAUUAGGACUGAGGUACGGCGCAGACUCGUACGGGAGGCAGCAGUGGGGAACAUUGCACAAUGGGCGGAAGCCUGAUGCAGCAACGCCGCGGGCGGGAUGACGGCCUGCGGGUUGUAAACCGCAUUCGCCUGUGACGAAGCGGGAGUGACGGUAAUGGGUAAAGAAGCACCGGCUAACUACGUG